ACCUAUUCAAGUUUUGCCAAGUCAGGAUCCAGUUCAGAAUCACCACUGCACUUAUUUCUCACAUCUCUUUCAUCUUCAGUCUGGAACAGUUCUUCAGUCUUUCCUUAACUUUCAUGAACUUUACACUUCUAUUACAGGCCAAUUAUUUUGUAGAAUUUUCCUUAAUUUGAAUUUGUUGCUUUAGGAUUAGAUUCCAAUUAUGUAUUAUUGGCAGCAGCAUCACAGAAGUGAUGCUGUGUUCUUCUUGCUAGACUGUCAAGAGGCACAUGAUUGCAAUUUGUCCUAUUACUGAUGAUGUUCAUUUUGGUUACUUGAUUAAGGUGGCACCUGCCAGAUUUUUCCACUAUGAAGUGACUUCCUUUUGUAACUAAUGAAUAUUUUGUG
RNAcentral lists this long non-coding RNA (384 nucleotides) under Pongo abelii (Sumatran orangutan). Its description in RNAcentral is "lincRNA". The record is from RNAcentral. Lineage: Eukaryota; Metazoa; Chordata; Mammalia; Primates; Hominidae.